This is a long non-coding RNA of Nannospalax galili (Upper Galilee mountains blind mole rat), 403 nucleotides long. RefSeq lists it as uncharacterized. The record is from RefSeq and is a predicted model, not a curated record. NCBI's taxonomy places the organism in Eukaryota, Metazoa, Chordata, Mammalia, Rodentia, Spalacidae. The transcript is spliced from 4 exons.
AGACCAUCAGCUCGCUUCCCGUGAAUGCAAAGAUGUCAUGGAAACAGGUCUUGCCUUUUCAUGUUAAAUGCUACCAACAGGUCAAGGUCAGCCCAAGUCAAGUCAGCAAAAGGAUAGCAGUUUGUGAGUCAUGAGGCUCUGAAGUCUUUUAUACUGCUGCAUGGCACUACAUUCCCAGCAUAUCAGAAAAGUACAACAUUAUGAAUUGAGAAGGUUUGGAGGCAGUUCAUAGCAGACUUCCACUGAAGGGCCAACCCACACACGCUGGCUUCAACUAUUCUUCAUGUUCAACUUGAUUAUGCCAGAAAGCUGCACAUGAACAGAAAAAGGUUUUAUGUGCUUCUAGAUUUUGGACAUGGAUGGGCUUCAGAGAAGGGAGGUGCUUUCUGUCCUGUAGUUUUAC